UCCUUGGUGGUCAAGUGACUAAGAUUCUGUACUUUCAAUGCAUGGGGCCCAGGUUCAUUCCCUGGUCAGGAAA
This 73-nucleotide transfer RNA is filed under the name Bos taurus (domestic cattle). It matches the Rfam family "tRNA". From Rfam's summary of the family: Transfer RNA (tRNA) molecules are approximately 80 nucleotides in length. Their secondary structure includes four short double-helical elements and three loops (D, anti-codon, and T loops). The record is from Rfam by way of RNAcentral. RNAcentral also lists the same sequence under 5 other names. Lineage: Eukaryota; Metazoa; Chordata; Mammalia; Artiodactyla; Bovidae.